Rosa rugosa (rugosa rose) is the source of this 866-nucleotide long non-coding RNA. RefSeq lists it as uncharacterized. The record is from RefSeq and is a predicted model, not a curated record. The transcript has 3 exons. NCBI's taxonomy places the organism in Eukaryota, Viridiplantae, Streptophyta, Magnoliopsida, Rosales, Rosaceae.
UUUUCUCUCUCUUGUUCUUGUUCUUGGCUAUUUCGGAGAGAGACAAAGGGAAGGAGCAAAAAAUUUCCAAUUCCAGUCGGAUUCUCAAGCCAGCCUUCUCAGAACAUCAAGGCUCGAUUGCUUGAAGAGGUUCCCAAGUUGCAGAGAUUGGCUGUAAAGAAGGUGGAGAGGAGGAGAACGGUCACUCCUCGACCUAAUUCUUUAGAUUUGAGGACCGGGAAUGGAGCUGCCGGCGGCGGUGAAAUGUCGGCGGCUCAGAAGCUGUUGGUCACUUCGAUGAGGAGUUUAUCGGUUUCGUUUCAGGGCAAGUCGUACGCGCUCCAGGUGAGUAAAGCGAAGCGACCGCCGUCUCCGAUUGCGAGGAAAGGGACGCCGGAGCGAAGGAAGGCUUCGACGCAGGCGAGGCCGGAUCAGAGCGAGAAUUCCAGACUGAUGGAGCAGUACCGGUGGCCGCCGAGGUUGAGGCCGGACACUUGUAUGACCAGGAGCUUGGAUUUUACGGUGGAGAUGAAGAAAUUGAAUGGAUCUGGCUCCAAUGUGGUUAGGGCAUUGCAAAAUUCACUGGGGAAUGAUCUUGAUGGGAGAUUGAGCUAAUGCUGCACUAGCUGCACAGAGGUCGAAUGCAGAGAGAAUACAAUGCGUGAAAAACAACUUCAAAACUCCGGGAAUCUGUUAGAGCCAAAAGAACUGAGUUACAAUUGCUGAGGCAAAAUUUGAAGCUAACUUCCAUUCUCCAGGGGCAAAUGAUAUAUUUGGAAGAGUGUUGGCUUAUGGACCGGGAUUACUCUAAUUCCUUGUCUGGUGCCAUCGAAGCUUUGAGGGCUAGCACGCUCCGCCUUCUAGUGGUUGAUGGAGCAAGGGUAUGU